UAGGGAAUCUUCCGCAAUGGGCGAAAGCCUGACGGAGCAACGCCGCGUGAGUGAUGAAGGUCUUCGGAUCGUAAAACUCUGUUAUUAGGGAAGAACAAAUGUGUAAGUAACUAUGCACGUCUUGACGGUACCUAAUCAGAAAGCCACGGCUAACUACGUGCCAGCAGCCGCGGUAAUACGUAGGUGGCAAGCGUUAUCCGGAAUUAUUGGGCGUAAAGCGCGCGUAGGCAGGUUUUUAAGUCUGAUGUGAAAGCCCAAGGCGCAACCGUGGAGGGUCAUUGGAAACUGGAAAACUUGAGUGCAGAAGAGGAAAGUGGAAUUCCAUGUGUAGCGGUGAAAUGCGCAGCGAUAUGGAGGAACACCAGUGGCGAAGGCGACUUUCUGGUCUGUAACUGACGCUGAUGUGCGAAAGCGUGGGGAUCAAACAGG
This 429-nucleotide ribosomal RNA is filed under the name Actinomycetes bacterium. Its description in RNAcentral is "Actinobacteria bacterium partial 16S ribosomal RNA". It matches the Rfam family "Bacterial small subunit ribosomal RNA", at positions 355 to 776 of the family's 1533-position model. The record is from RNAcentral. Lineage: Bacteria; Bacillati; Actinomycetota; Actinomycetes.